AAAUAAAAUGGCAGAUAAAUGCAUUAGAAUUAGAAUCUAAAUAAGUAUAA
RNAcentral lists this transfer RNA (50 nucleotides) under Philodromidae sp. A MACT-2017. RNAcentral's name for it is "tRNA-Leu". The record is from RNAcentral. Lineage: Eukaryota; Metazoa; Arthropoda; Arachnida; Araneae; Philodromidae.